RNAcentral lists this ribosomal RNA (327 nucleotides) under uncultured eukaryote. RNAcentral's name for it is "partial 18S ribosomal RNA". It matches the Rfam family "Eukaryotic small subunit ribosomal RNA", at positions 1470 to 1796 of the family's 1831-position model. The record is from RNAcentral.
CCCUUAGAUGUUCUGGGCCGCACGCGCGCUACACUGACGAAUGCAACGAGCUUAUAACCUUGGCCGAAAGGUCUGGGUAAUCUCCAAAUUUCGUCGUGAUGGGGUUAGAUUAUUGCAAUUAUUAAUCUUCAACGAGGAAUGCCUAGUAAGCGCAAGUCAUCAGCUUGCGUUGAUUACGUCCCUGCCCUUUGUACACACCGCCCGUCGCUCCUACCGAUUGAAUGGUCCGGUGAAGCGUUCGGACCGUGGCCUUUGGACGGUUCGCCGUCUGUUGGCUGCGGGAAGUUCGUUAAACCUUAUCAUUUAGAGGAAGGAGAANUCGUAACA